CCAUUUUGUGGGAAGCAAGGCGGCCUCCACGUUUCCUGAGCGUCUUCUUCGCUUCUGCCUCGACCGCCCCUUGACCACAGACAUGUCUCGGGAUCGGUUCCGGAGUCGCGGCGGUGGCGAUGGCGGCUUCCACAGGCGCGGAGGAGGCGGCGGCCGCGGCGGCCUCCACGACUUCCGUUCCCCGCCGCCCGGCAUAGGCCUCAAUCAGAGCCGCGGCCCCGCGGGUCCUGGCCCGGGCCCGAGCGGCCCCAAGCCUCCGAUCCCGCCACCGCCUCCACACCGACAGCAGCCGCCGCCGCCAUCGCCGCAGGACUCUUCCAAGCCCGUCGUUGCUCAGGGACCCGGCCCCGGAGUGGGCAGCGCGCCGCCAGCCUCCAGCUCGGCCCUGUCCGCCACUCCGCCGACCUCGGGGACCCAGCCAGGGUCCGGGCCAGGCCCGACCCCGACCCCGACCCCGACCCCGACGCCGCCGCCCGCGGUCACCUCGGCCCCUCCCGGGGCGCCGCCACUUGGCGGGGUCCCUACCACACCUCCUCAGGCCGGAGGCCUGCCGCCUGCGCCCUCGGCGGCCCGGGCCCAGGUCCGGGGCCUAAGCAGGGCCCAGGCCCGGGCGGUCCCAAAGGCGGCAAAAGCCAGGGGGCUGCUCGGGCCUAAGCACUCCUAGCGGCCACCCGAAGCCGCCGCAGCGACGCAGCGGGGAGCCUCGCGGGGGCCGCCGGCACCACCUGCCCAGCCACCAGCAGCACCCCCAGGGGCCCCCGCCCGUUGGGCCCUGCGACCGCAGCGAGGCGAAAAUCUCGGACUCGGAGGGGUUUAAAGCCAGCUUGUCUCUUUUGAGGAGGCCUGGAGAGAAAACUUACACACAGCGAUGUCCGUUGUUUGUUGGGAAUCUACCUGCUGAUAUCACGCAAGAUGAAUUCAAAAGAAUAUUUGCUAAAUAUGGAGAACCUGGAGAAGUUUUUAUCAACAAAGGCAAAGGAUUCAGAUUUAUGAAGCUUGAAUCCAGAGCUCUGGCUGAAAUUGCCAAAGCUGAACUCGAUGAUACACCCAUGAGAUGUAGACAGCUUCGAGUUCGCUUUGCCACACAUGCUGCUGCCCUUUCUGUUCGUAAUCUUUCAUCUUACGUUUCCAAUGAACUGUUGGAAGAAACCUUCAGCCAGUUUGGUCCUAUUGAAAGGGCUGUUGUAAUAGUGGAUGACCGUGGAAGAUCUGUAGGAAAAGGCAUUGUUGAUUUGCUUCUAAACCAGCAGCAAGAAAGGCAUUUGAACGAUGCAGUGAAGGUGUUUUCUUGCUGACAACAACUCCUCACCAGUCAUCGUGGAACCACUUGAACAGCUAGAUGAUGAAGAUGGUCUUCCUGAAAAACUUCCUGAAAAACCAGAAGAAUCCAAUGUAUCAAAAGGAGAGAGAAACUCCUCUUCGUUUUGCCCAGCAUGACACAUUUGAGUAUGAAUAUUCUCAGCGAUGA
Molecule: RNA transcript, 1468 nt
Organism: Cebus imitator (Panamanian white-faced capuchin)
Lineage: Eukaryota; Metazoa; Chordata; Mammalia; Primates; Cebidae
Gene name: splicing factor, proline- and glutamine-rich-like
Exons: 1
Source: RefSeq, a predicted model, not a curated record